Cotesia glomerata is the source of this 345-nucleotide long non-coding RNA. RefSeq lists it as uncharacterized. Lineage: Eukaryota; Metazoa; Arthropoda; Insecta; Hymenoptera; Braconidae. The record is from RefSeq and is a predicted model, not a curated record. The transcript is spliced from 2 exons.
GGAAAAUCUGUUUUUUAUACCAUUUGUAAAACCUCAUAUCGACGAGUUUGAAUUUACCGCUAGUUUUUUACUAGAGUUUGUAUACUAACCUGUCAAUUAAUUCAUUUUUUUUCCGGUAACUUUUAAGUUACGGCACGCAAACCAACGUUUUAAUGUGACAACAUUAUUGUCUUUUACAGUUGCAAAUUUUAAUUUUGCUCCAGGAACGUCGUCUUCGGUCAAAAACAUGUUUUUUAUGUCCACUUUACUAUGUGAUUAAAUGGAGCUCUGACAAUGUUUGUCCCUACCGAACCACUAGCGCCGCUAGUGAGUAAUUUUUCGUACUUCAGGAAAAAGGCUCAUUCU